GACGAACGCUGGCGGCGCGCCUAACACAUGCAAGUCGAACGAGCGAGAGAGAGCUUGCUUUCUCGAGCGAGUGGCGAACGGGUGAGUAACGCGUGAGGAACCUGCAUCAAAGAGGGGGACAACAGUUGGAAACGACUGCUAAUACCGCAUAAGCCCACAGCUCGGCAUCGAGCAGAGGGAAAAGGAGCAAUCCGCUUUGAGAUGGCCUCGCGUCCGAUUAGCUAGUUGGUGAGGUAAUGGCCCACCAAGGCGACGAUCGGUAGCCGGACUGAGAGGUUGAACGGCCACAUUGGGACUGAGACACGGCCCAGGCUCCUACGGGAGGCAGCAGUGGGGAAUAUUGCACAAUGGGGGAAACCCUGAUGCAGCGACGCCGCGUGGAGGAAGAAGGUCUUCGGAUUGUAAACUCCUGUUGUUGAGGAAGAUAAUGACGGUACUCAACAAGGAAGUGACGGCUAACUACGUGCCAGCAGCCGCGGUAAAACGUAGGUCACAAGCGUUGUCCGGAAUUACUGGGUGUAAAGGGAGCGCAGGCGGGAAGGCAAGUUGGAAGUGAAAUCCAUGGGCUCAACCCAUGAACUGCUUUCAAAACUGUUUUUCUUGAGUAGUGCAGAGGUAGGCGGAAUUCCCGGUGUAGCGGUGGAAUGCGUAGAUAUCGGGAGGAACACCAGUGGCGAAGGCGGCCUACUGGGCACCAACUGACGCUGAGGCUCGAAAGUGUGGGUAGCAAACAGGAUUAGAUACCCUGGUAGUCCACACUGUAAACGAUGAUUACUAGGUGUUGGAGGAUUGACCCCUUCAGUGCCGCAGUUAACACAAUAAGUAAUCCACCUGGGGAGUACGACCGCAAGGUUGAAACUCAAAGGAAUUGACGGGGGCCCGCACAAGCAGUGGAGUAUGUGGUUUAAUUCGACGCAACGCGAAGAACCUUACCAAGUCUUGACAUCCUGCGACGGUGCUGGAAACAGUACUUUCCUUCGGGACGCAGAGACAGGUGGUGCAUGGUUGUCGUCAGCUCGUGUCGUGAGAUGUUGGGUUAAGUCCCGCAACGAGCGCAACCCUUAUGGUCAGUUACUACGCAAGAGGACUUUGGCCAGACUGCCGUUGACAAAACGGAGGAAGGUGGGGAUGACGUCAAAUCAUCAUGCCCUUUAUGACUUGGGCUACACACGUACUACAAUGGCGUUAAACAAAGAGAAGCAAGACCGCGAGGUGGAGCAAAACUCAGAAACAACGUCCCAGUUCGGACUGCAGGCUGCAACUCGCCUGCACGAAGUUCGGAAUUGCUAGUAAUCGCAGAUCAGCAUGCUGCGGUGAAUACGUUCCCGGGCCU
Molecule: ribosomal RNA, 1333 nt
Filed under: uncultured bacterium
Lineage: Bacteria
Description: bacterial SSU rRNA
Rfam family: Bacterial small subunit ribosomal RNA
Source: RNAcentral